AAUAAAAUCCAUUUUACAAUCUUCAUUAUUCAGUACAUUCGUGGAACCCUCAUCUUCGUUAAUAACUCCAGUGGGUUCAUUGAAAAUUGUCUAACGGGUUCAUUGAGAUCCCGAUGGUGUUGAAUGCCAAUUUGAAAUUGACUCACGCUCAAACUCCGGUGCGUAAUAUUUCCUUUACUAUCCAGAAUUGUGGCUUUAUCGUGUUGAUCCAAUGGAGUUGAAGACAAACAUUGUUAGUGACAUUUCCAACAGUAAAAUGGCCAUGAUUUGCACUGUAUUCAUGUUUAAACAUGUUGAUGUCUUCAUGAUUUUAAUAUACUUACUUCACAAUGACCUUGAAAACAUGUCGAUGUCAUUUGAUGGUAAUAGAGUUGGGACGGACAUAGCUUCUUUACUGUUUAAACAUUGGCGGAUUAGGCAAGCCACAAAGCGAUGAAAAAAGAAGAAAGCUGAAUGAUUGAUGUGUUCAUUUUAUUUCAAAUUUAUUAGCUUGAUAGAUAGUAGUUGAUGUAAUAUGUGGACAAAACAUUCAAUAUAUAUGAAUAUGAAUUUUUUUUGUAUUGAUUAAUACAAUUCAUUAGUUUGUU
Molecule: long non-coding RNA, 587 nt
Organism: Olea europaea var. sylvestris
Lineage: Eukaryota; Viridiplantae; Streptophyta; Magnoliopsida; Lamiales; Oleaceae
Exons: 3
Source: RefSeq, a predicted model, not a curated record